This 546-nucleotide ribosomal RNA is filed under the name Triticum aestivum (bread wheat). RNAcentral's name for it is "partial small subunit ribosomal RNA". Lineage: Eukaryota; Viridiplantae; Streptophyta; Magnoliopsida; Poales; Poaceae. The record is from RNAcentral.
AUGCCGGCUGGCGUCAAGUUCGAUCCCAUGGAUCAGGAGCUAAUCGAGCACCUUGAGGCCAACGUGAGUGUUGAUAGCGCGAGAUCUCACCCUCUCAUUGAUUUGUUCAUACCAACCAUCGACAGUGAGCACGACAUAUGCUACACCCAACCUGAGAAACUUCCAGACCUGAGUGGCCUAAGGAAGCAUAUGUUCCACCACAAUUCCAGGGCGUUCAAAAGGGGCACGUGGACGCGUUGCAAGAUACAGUCGGAGUGUGGCAUGCACACGAUGUGGCACAAGACCGGCAAUCCCUUGCCGGUGAUGGUCAACGGCCGGCAGACGGGCAACACAAAGGUUCCGGUGCUGCACACCAACAAGAACUUCGACCAGCAGAGGACCAACUGGGUGAUGCACCAGUACCACCUCGGGACCUGGAGCAAGAGAAGGAGUGGGAGCUGGUCCUCUGCAAGAUUUUGUACCAGACGAACACUAGGGUCGAGCAAGUUUCAACUGGGCUGUAGACUGCCCAGGCUUGGUUUUGUUUUUAACAGGCCCAACCCAUGA